This 250-nucleotide ribosomal RNA is filed under the name uncultured prokaryote. RNAcentral describes it as "partial 16S ribosomal RNA". It matches the Rfam family "Bacterial small subunit ribosomal RNA", at positions 524 to 774 of the family's 1533-position model. The record is from RNAcentral.
UACGGAGGAUGCAAGCGUUAUCCGGAUUUAUUGGGUUUAAAGGGUGCGCAGGCGGCUUCUAAGCGGGAGGUGAAAUGCCGGCGCUCAACGUCGGAAGUGCCUCCCGAACUGGUGGGCUGGAAUGACACUGCCGUGUGAGGAAUGUGUAGUGUAGCGGUGAAAUGCUUAGAGAUUACACAGAACACCGAUUUCGAAGGCAUCUCACGAAGGGUUGAUUGACGCUGAGGCACGAGAGCGUGGGGAUCAAACA